Molecule: ribosomal RNA, 494 nt
Filed under: uncultured bacterium
Lineage: Bacteria
Description: partial 16S ribosomal RNA
Rfam family: Bacterial small subunit ribosomal RNA
Source: RNAcentral
GACGAACGCUGGCGGCGUGCUUAACACAUGCAAGUCGAACGGUGAAGCGCCUUCCUUUUUGGUGGGUGUGGAUGAGUGGCGAACGGGUGAGUAACACGUGAGUAACCUGCCCCCUUCUUCUGGAUAACCGCAUGACAGUGUGGCUAAUACGGGAUAUUCUGGGUCUGUCGCAUGAUGGGUCUGGGAAAGAUAUUGUUUCGGUGGGGGAUGGGCUCGCGGCCUAUCAGCUUGUUGGUGGGGUGAUGGCCUACCAAGGCGGUGACGGGUAGCCGGCCUGAGAGGGUGGACGGUCACACUGGGACUGAGACACGGCCCAGACUCCUAUGGGAGGCAGCAGUGGGGAAUAUUGCACAAUGGGCGCAAGCCUGAUGCAGCGACGCCGCGUGAGGGAUGGAGGCCUUCGGGUUGUGAACCUCUUUCGCCAGUGAAGCAGGCCUGCCUCGUUUGUGGGUGGGUUGACGGUAGCUGGAUAAGAAGCGCCGGCUAACUACGUG